This 345-nucleotide ribosomal RNA is filed under the name Daptonema hirsutum. RNAcentral describes it as "SSU rRNA". It matches the Rfam family "Eukaryotic small subunit ribosomal RNA", at positions 88 to 433 of the family's 1831-position model. Lineage: Eukaryota; Metazoa; Nematoda; Chromadorea; Monhysterida; Xyalidae. The record is from RNAcentral. RNAcentral also lists the same sequence under 2 other names.
CGCGAAUAGCUCAUUACAACAGCCGUUGUUUCUUGGAUCUCCGCUUUUACUUGGAUAACUGUGGCAAUUCUAGAGCUAAUACAUGCAAUCGAGCUCCGACUUAACAGGACGAGCGCAUUUAUUAGACCAAAACCAAUCGGCGCAAGCCGUUUUCUGGUGAAUCUGAAUAACUACGCAGAUCGCUUCGGUUUCACACCGGCGACAUAUCCUUCAAGUGUCUGCUUUAUCAACUUUCGUUGGUAGUUUAUACGCCUACCAAGGUUUUAACGGAUAACGGAGAAUCAGGGUUCGACUCCGGAGAGGGAGCCUGAGAAACGGCUACCACUUCCAAGGAAGGCAGCAGGC